GACGUAGGGCGCGAGCGUUGUCCGGAUUUAUUGGGCGUAAAGAGCUCGUAGGCGGUUCGGCAAGUCAGCUGUGAAAUCUCCACGCUCAACGUGGAGGGGUCAGCUGAUACUGCUGUGACUCGAGUCCGGUAGGGGAGUGUGGAAUUCCCGGUGUAGCGGUGAAAUGCGCAGAUAUCGGGAGGAACACCAGUAGCGAAGGCGGCACUCUGGGCCGGUACUGACGCUGAGGAGCGAAAGCGUGGGGAGCAAACAGG
This 254-nucleotide ribosomal RNA is filed under the name uncultured bacterium. Its description in RNAcentral is "partial 16S ribosomal RNA". It matches the Rfam family "Bacterial small subunit ribosomal RNA", at positions 524 to 776 of the family's 1533-position model. The record is from RNAcentral.